AUUGAACGCUGGCGGCAUGCCUUACACAUGCAAGUCGAACGGCAGCACGGGAGCAAUCCUGGUGGCGAGUGGCGAACGGGUGAGUAAAGUAUCGGAACGUGCCCAGUCGGGGGGGAUAACGUAGCGAAAGUUACGCUAAUACCGCAUACGAUCUACGGAUGAAAGCGGGGGAUCGCAAGACCUCGCGCGAUUGGAGCGGCCGAUAUCAGAUUAGGUAGGUGGUGGGGUAAAGGCUUGCCAAGCCGACGAUCUGUAGCGGGUCUGAGAGGAAGACAAGCCACCCUGGGACUAGGACACGGCCCAGACCCCUACGGGAGGCAGCAGUGGGGAAUUUUGGACAAUGGGCGAAAGCCUGAUCCAGCCAUGCCGCGUGCAGGAUGAAGGCCUUCGGGUUGUAAACUGCUUUUGUACGGAACGAAAAGGUUUGGCCUAAUAAGCUGAGCUCAUGACGGUACCGUAAGAAUAAGCACCGGCUAACUACGUGCCAGCAGCCGCCGUAA
RNAcentral lists this ribosomal RNA (500 nucleotides) under uncultured bacterium. RNAcentral describes it as "partial 16S ribosomal RNA". It matches the Rfam family "Bacterial small subunit ribosomal RNA", at positions 29 to 523 of the family's 1533-position model. The record is from RNAcentral.